UUAUUGUGUCGAUCUGUAAGUAAUAUUAAAUCCGAUGAUUCUGAUUCCUCAGAAAUAAAAAGAGUAAUAAAUAGGAAUGAAUUAAUAUUGCAAGAUUUUAGUAAAGCUAUAGAUGAUUGGGAAAUACCUAAAGUAGAAGAAUCUAGAAGCUAGAAGCUACCCGAUUAUGCCCUCCGGAUUUAAUAUUACUUACAGAUCGACACAAUAAA
RNAcentral lists this long non-coding RNA (209 nucleotides) under Jatropha curcas. RNAcentral describes it as "long non-coding RNA (JCUR_LNC002596)". Lineage: Eukaryota; Viridiplantae; Streptophyta; Magnoliopsida; Malpighiales; Euphorbiaceae. The record is from RNAcentral.